GUAAGGAAUAUUGGUCAAUGGACGCAAGUCUGAACCAGCCAUGCCGCGUGAAGGAUUAAGGUCCUCUGGAUUGUAAACUUCUUUUAUAUGGGACGAAAAAAGAUCUUUCUAGAUCCCUUGACGGUACCAUAUGAAUAAGCACCGGCUAACUCCGUGCCAGCAGCCGCGGUAAUACGGAGGGUGCAAGCGUUAUCCGGAUUCACUGGGUUUAAAGGGUGCGUAGGCGGGUAGGUAAGUCAGUGGUGAAAUCCUGGAGCUCAACUCCAGAACUGCCAUUGAUACUAUUUAUCUUGAAUAUUGUGGAGGUAAGCGGAAUAUGUCAUGUAGCGGUGAAAUGCUUAGAUAUGACAUAGAACACCCAUUGCGAAGGCAGCUUACUACGCAUAUAUUGACGCUGAGGCACGAAAGCGUGGGGAUCAAA
This 421-nucleotide ribosomal RNA is filed under the name Bacteroidetes bacterium SCGC AAA487-G14. RNAcentral describes it as "bacterial SSU rRNA". It matches the Rfam family "Bacterial small subunit ribosomal RNA", at positions 354 to 772 of the family's 1533-position model. Lineage: Bacteria; Pseudomonadati; Bacteroidota. The record is from RNAcentral.